Molecule: long non-coding RNA, 1600 nt
Organism: Carassius auratus (goldfish)
Lineage: Eukaryota; Metazoa; Chordata; Actinopteri; Cypriniformes; Cyprinidae
Source: Ensembl
GGUGAUGAUGAGGGUCACCUGACUCUGGAGGUGAGCUGCUCACAUCGCUCCUGCAGCAGUGUGUGUGUGUGUGAGGGUCACCUGACUCUGGAGGUGAGCUGCUCACAUCGCUCCUGCAGCAGUGUGUGUGUGUGUGUGUGUGUGUGUGUGUGUGUGUUGGGUGAUGAUGAGGGUCACCUGACUCUGGAGGUGAGCUGCUCACAUCGCUCCUGCAGCAGUGUGACUCUAUCCUCCAGCUGCUGUCUCUCCUCCAUCAUCCUGCAGCUCUCCUCUCUCUGUCGCUCUCGCUCCUGUCUCUCUCUCCGCAGAUCCUCACACAGCUCGUCACGCUCCUUCAGCAGCAGAGGGAGAGACUGCACACACACACACACCAGAUACACAUCAGAAACACACACACACACACACACACGCAUCAGAUACACGUCAGAAACACACACACACACACACGAUACACAUCCGAACACACACACACACACACACCUGUAGUCCUCUCUGAAGGUCCUCCUCUUCCUCACACAGCUGCUGUCUCCUCUUCCUCAGAUCUGAUGCCUGAUGAUCAAUAAUCAACACUGUUAGUAUUGAGAUAGAACUAUUAGUCUGAAGUAAAUGAGAAACUCAAAUAAACCCAUCAGCUCAAGUAAAAAAAACUAAACACACACAUCCUUGAAUGUGAUGAAAACCAUAAUAAAAUAAAUCUGAAAUAAUAACCAAACUGUAUGGCAUAUAAUCAUUAGAAUGAAGAAUUCAAAUAAAAGCACAGUUCUGUACCUUUGACUGAAGUUCAGUCUCCUGAGUGUGAAGCUCUUUGGUUUGUUUCUCCAGCUUCUCCUUCCACUCCUGUAGCUCUGACUCCUACACACACACACACACACACACACAUUACAGCAACAAGCAAUCUGUCUGUCCACACCAGAUCACAGCCAAUCAGAGGAGUGUGUGGGCGGAGUCUGUCUGUAAACACUGUCUGGAUGAGUAUAUGAUCAAAUCAAUAAAAAUUAAGCCAUUCUACGAUUAGUAAAAAUCCAUUUUCUGAUACAGUGUUUGUUAUGGGUGCAUGUUCACUUUAUUCUUCAUAUCAGAGGUAAAUGAUCAUGAACACACUCACUGACAGUGUGUGUGUGUGUGUGUGUGUGUGCUGUGCUGACCUUCUGCGAGUGUGUCCUGCGCGUCUCCUGCAGCUGUGUGUCCAGUGUGUGCUGUAGUUUGUGUAGUUGUGUUGUGUGUGUGGAGAUCACAGCGUCUCUCUCCUUCUGAAGAGAAUCCAGCAGACGAUCCCGCUCCCUGCUCUCCUGCACACACACACAGAUCUCAACAUCUCUAUGUAAAUCAGACUAACAGAUAGCUUGCCACUGUAUGUGUGUGUGUUGUACCUGCUCCAGGUGUGUCUCUCUCAGGUUCUGUAGCUCCUGUUGAUGUUCCUCCUUCAGCUGUUCUAGUUUCCUCCUGUGAUCUCUUUCGACUUCCUCCCGGACUUCCUGCAGCACAUCUGUGAGCUAAACACACAUGAACACACACUCGUCAGGGCUGCACAAUAUCAGAAAUAUAAUCCCAAUAGGGCUUAGUGCAGUUAUCACAUGACAAAGGCUGUGAUGAAGGAAUA